GACAGAGGUGCCGAGCGUUAGGCGGAAUCACUGGGCUUAAAGCGUGUGUAGGCGGGUCGUUAAGUGCCUUGUGAAAUCCCACAGCUCACCUGUGGAACUGCUUGGCAUACUGGCGGUCUUGAGCCACUUAGGGGCAACCGGAACAAACGGUGGAGCGGUGAAAUGCGUAGAUAUCGUUUGGAACGCCAAUGGUGAAAACAGGUUGCUGGGAGUGCGCUGACGCUGAGACACGAAAGCCAGGGGAGCAAACGGG
RNAcentral lists this ribosomal RNA (253 nucleotides) under uncultured bacterium. RNAcentral describes it as "partial 16S ribosomal RNA". It matches the Rfam family "Bacterial small subunit ribosomal RNA", at positions 524 to 776 of the family's 1533-position model. The record is from RNAcentral.